GAGCCAGUGGUGUAAUGGUUUGAGCAUUGGACUAUUUCUCUGAAGACCAGGGUUUGAAUCCCUGCUCAGUCA
This is a non-coding RNA of Phrynosoma platyrhinos (Desert horned lizard), 72 nucleotides long. The record is from the annotation of a GenBank genome assembly. NCBI's taxonomy places the organism in Eukaryota, Metazoa, Chordata, Lepidosauria, Squamata, Phrynosomatidae.